Molecule: transfer RNA, 75 nt
Filed under: Verrucomicrobiaceae bacterium
Lineage: Bacteria; Pseudomonadati; Verrucomicrobiota; Verrucomicrobiia; Verrucomicrobiales; Verrucomicrobiaceae
Description: tRNA-Cys
Rfam family: tRNA
About the family: Transfer RNA (tRNA) molecules are approximately 80 nucleotides in length.
Source: RNAcentral
GUUCGCGUGGUGUGAGAGGUUAGCCAGUGCUCUGCAAAAGCACGUAUGUCGGUUCGAGUCCGACCGCGAACUCCA